RNAcentral lists this ribosomal RNA (1508 nucleotides) under marine metagenome. RNAcentral's name for it is "bacterial LSU rRNA". It matches the Rfam family "Bacterial large subunit ribosomal RNA", at positions 1064 to 2555 of the family's 2925-position model. The record is from RNAcentral.
UGGGAAACGAUGUGGGAAGGCAUAGACAGCUAGGAGGUUGGCUUAGAAGCAGCCAUCCUUUAAAGAAAGCGUAAUAGCUCACUAGUCAAGUCGGCCUGCGCGGAAGAUUUAACGGGGCUAAGCUGUAUACCGAAGCUGCGGAUGCUUAUAUUUAUAUAGGCAUGGUAGAGGAGCGUUCUGUAAGCCUGCGAAGGUGUUCUGUAAGGAAUGCUGGAGGUAUCAGAAGUGCGAAUGCUGACAUGAGUAACGAUAAGGGGAGUGAAAAACUCCCCCGCCGAAAACCCAAGGUUUCCUGCGCAACGCUAAUCGGCGCAGGGUUAGUCGGUACCUAAGGCGAGGCCGAAAGGCGUAGUCGAUGGAAAACAGGUUAAUAUUCCUGUACCGCGCAUGACUGCGAUGGGGUGACGGAGAAGGCUAGACAAGCAGGGCGACGGUUGUCCCUGUUUAAGCGUGUAGGCUGAGAUCUUUGGAAAAUCCGGGAUCUCUUAAGGCUGAGACGUGAUGACGAGCACCAUUAGGAGCGAAGUUGUCGAUGCCAUGCUUCCAGGAAAAACCUCUAAGCUUCAGGUCAUGAGUGGCCGUACUCCAAACCAACACAGGUGGGUGGGAUGAGAAUUCUAAGGCGCUUGAGAGAACUCGGCUGAAGGAACUAGGCAAAAUGGAUCCGUAACUUCGGGAGAAGGAUCGCCCUUGCUGGUUAUUAGAUUUACUCUAAGAAGCUAGUGAGGGUUGCAAUAAAUUGGUGGCUGCGACUGUUUACUAAAAACACAGCACUCUGCAAACUCGUAAGAGGACGUAUAGGGUGUGACGCCUGCCCGGUGCCGGAAGGUUAAUUGAUGGGGUUAUCUUCGGAGAAGCUCUUGAUCGAAGCCCCGGUAAACGGCGGCCGUAACUAUAACGGUCCUAAGGUAGCGAAAUUCCUUGUCGGGUAAGUUCCGACCUGCACGAAUGGCGUAACGAUGGCCACACUGUCUCCAGCCGAGACUCAGUGAAAUUGAAAUCGCGGUUAAGAUGCCGCGUACCCGCGGCUAGACGGAAAGACCCCGUGCACCUUUACUACAGCUUCGCACUGAACUUUGAAUCUAUCUGUGUAGGAUAGCUGGGAGACUUUGAAGCGUGAUCGCCAGAUUGCGUGGAGUCAACCUUGAAAUACCAGCCUGGUAUAUUUGGAGUUCUAACCUAGGUCCAUUAUCUGGAUCAGGGACCGUGUGUGGUGGGUAGUUUGACUGGGGCGGUCUCCUCCGAAAGAGUAGCAGAGGAGCGCGAAGGUACCCUCGGCACGUUUGGAAAUCGUGCUAUGAGUGCAAUGGCAUAAGGGUGCUUGACUGCGAGACAGACACGUCGAGCAGGGUCGAAAGACGGUCAUAGUGAUCCGGUGGUUCUGUAUGGAAGGGCCAUCGCUCAACGGAUAAAAGGUACGCCGGGGAUAACAGGCUGAUACCGCCCAAGAGUUCAUAUCGACGGCGGUGUUUGGCACCUCGAUGUCGGCUCAUCUCAUCCUGGGGCUG